AUUGAACGCUGGCGGCAGGCCUAACACAUGCAAGUCGAACGAGUGGCGGACGGGUGAGUAAUGUCUGGGAAACUGCCUGAUGGAGGGGGAUAACUACUGGAAACGGUAGCUAAUACAGCAUACCAUCGGAUGUGCCCAGAUGGGAUUAGCUAGUAGGUGGGGUAAAGGCUCACCUAGGCGACGAUCCCUAGCUGGUCUGAGAGGAUGACCAGCCAAACUGGAACUGAGACACGGUCCAUCCUCCGUCGUGAGGUAGCAGUGGGUAAGCUUGCACAAUGGGCGCAAUCCUCAUGGCGCUAUGCCGCGUGGCUGAAGAAGGCCUUCGGGUUGUAUAGUACUUUCAGCUGCUAGGCGUUACCCGCAGAAGAAGCACCGGCUAACUCCGUGCCAGCAGCCGCGGUAAUAC
RNAcentral lists this ribosomal RNA (406 nucleotides) under uncultured bacterium. Its description in RNAcentral is "partial 16S ribosomal RNA". It matches the Rfam family "Bacterial small subunit ribosomal RNA", at positions 30 to 526 of the family's 1533-position model. The record is from RNAcentral.